This is an RNA transcript of Mandrillus leucophaeus (drill), 708 nucleotides long. It is a transcript of the gene named polyubiquitin-like, with no coding region annotated. The record is from RefSeq and is a predicted model, not a curated record. The transcript has a single exon. Lineage: Eukaryota; Metazoa; Chordata; Mammalia; Primates; Cercopithecidae.
GGCGACUGGCUUUGUUGGGCGAGUGUGUGGUGGUGUCCCUGUGGCUGGACACGAUUGGUGUUUUGCAGCAUCUUCAUAUCCGCUAACAGGUCAAAAUGCAGAUCUUCGUGAAGAGCCUUACCUGCAAGACCAUUGCCCUUGAGGUGGAGCCCAGUGACACCAUCGAAAAUGUGAAGGCCAAGAUCCAGGAUAAGAAAGGCAUUCUCCCUGAGCAGCAGACGCUCAUCCUUGCAGUCAAGCAGGUGGAAGAUGACCGCACUCUUUCUGACUAUAACGUCCAGAAAGAGUCGACCCUGCACCUUGUCCUGUGUCUGAGAGGUAGUAUGCAGAUCUUUGUGAAGACCCUGAUUGGCAAGACCAUCACCCUGAAAGUGGAGCCCAACGACACCAUCAAAAAUGUGAAGGCCAAGAUCCAGGAUAAAGAAGGCACCCCCUACCCCCAGCCCCGACCAGCAGAGGUUCAUCUUUGCAGGCAAGCAGCUGGAAGAUGGCCGCACUCUUUCUGACUAUGACAUCCAGAAAGAGUCGACCCUGCACCUGGUCCUUCACCUGAGGAGUGGCUGUUAAUUCUCCAGUCUUGCAUUCACAGUUCCCAGUGACGGCAUUACUCUGCAGUAUAGCCAUUUGCCUCAACUUAAGUUUAGAAAUUACAAGUUUCAGUAACAGCUGAACCUGUUCAAAAUGUUAAUAAAGGUUUUGUCGCAUGGU